Acanthopagrus latus (yellowfin seabream) is the source of this 1308-nucleotide long non-coding RNA. RefSeq lists it as uncharacterized. The transcript is spliced from 5 exons. The record is from RefSeq and is a predicted model, not a curated record. Lineage: Eukaryota; Metazoa; Chordata; Actinopteri; Spariformes; Sparidae.
GAAAAAGGCAAAGAAACAGGAAGACAGAGGCAGUAAACACUGAUGAACAGUUUCUAUUUAUAUCUGAAAACCAAUUACAAAUCACAAGUCUUUUUUUUUUUUUGUAUAACUGAGUAUAAAAGGCCACAGAAUGUUGCACUUUCUGGCUUUUUUUGUCAGCUUUUUGUGAAAAAAGGGGCAGAAUUUGAUCCAAAAUGGCAGCCAGUUUGGGUUUUAAUUUCACACCAACGUUUAAAAACAGGAUGCUGACAGAUGUGUUCAGUUAAGAUCAGCCACGAGGCACGGGCUAACGCUCACGCCAACACAGAAGCUACUCCUCUGCCCUGCUUACAUCCUGCCGGCUAAAAAUGCUCUUUGAGUUGCCACCACGGCACAGAGCCUCACUCUCAUCAGAGCGAUGGUCACGCACUUAUUCACACUCGGCUGCAUUUGUGACUCAAAGCUUCACGAGACGUUCCGUCAACAUGGGGGUUUGAUAUUCUCAUCCUCCUCAGAGCUGUGAUCAAGUAUUCACCAGUGGCAGCAUGUGUGACUUGACCACAAAAUGCACAAGGAAGACGGAGAAGCUUAAUUUACUAUACAGAGAUGCAAGAAACAGCCCAGUCCUGUUUUGAUCUAGAUAUUUAGUCUUAUAACGGGAAAUGUUUGGUUGCUGUGGCUGAGAAAAGUGAGAUAUAUGAGAGAGAAUAAAUUGUUGCAUGACUGUAUUUGGACUUGAGAACGUCAUAUGUUAUUUUCUGUCACCGCGUUUUUGCAUGUUUCCAACAAGGCAGAAGAAGAGAUGUUGCAGCUGUGGUGGUGCACGUCUGUCUUUGUGAGCUCAGGCUUAUUCUGUUCAUCCAUCUGUACAUCCUGAAUUUUGUUCAGUCAUGCAGCGCUGGUGCCCGUUGCAAAACUGUGACGUGGGCGAACUUGUGGUGGAAAAAUUUGCACAUGAGGAGGCGAGUGCUGGCAUUGAAACAGCUAAAUCCCUGCACGGGAAAAGAUAGUGGAAGGGAGGAGAAUGGUGCCCGAAAGAGUCGGCCAGUCUACAUCCGCUGAGUCAAACUAUCCAAUGACUAACUGCUGGAUAUCAGGUAUAAAUAUCCAUACCUUUAAACUGGUAUAACCUGCCUUGACCUUGUCUUGUAUGUGAUCUACUCAGCCUCAUGACGACAGAAAGUCGAGUGAACUUUCGUAGUCCUCGAAACAUUUCGGGAGGUUCGCAGCAAAACAUCAUUGCAGCAUUCUCCUUAACAACUGAAGUACACAGGGAUUUAAAAACUACAGAAUCUCAUAAGGCAUAAUCCAAGUCUCCGGAAGCCCAGA